GACAGAGCAACCAUGGCUGACUCCUCAUAUAAGCAGCUGGAAGCUGAACUGAAUGACAGCAGUCACUUUCUUUAGAGGAAGAGGCAGAUAGCACAUUUGUUGAAAUACUUAGGUAUCCAGUAGAAUUCCAGGGGAGUUUAGACAGUGAAGUAAUGCUGAGAGAGACAGAGCUAUUCUCCAUUGGCCACUCACCAAAUUGACCAGUCCUUCUGCCAGGCCUGGUUAGGUCAUUAUAUUUCCUGUGCAGGAGCACUGGGUCACCACGUCCCUGCUGGCCUUGGUGGGGUCAGCAGCGGGGUCACGGGUGGGGGCUGUCCCAGGGUAGGUGAGAACCUAGGGAGGGUAGCGGGCAGGCUGGGCUGAGCUUUCUUCCUUCCAGCCCUCUUCCAUCAUACAGGACACUGUGGUGCUUUGCUGUGCCACUCAGGCUUUUUCAUUCAGAGUCAGAGCUCGGGAGCCAUUUGUCGCUCUGCUUCCAGAGGCAACUAUUUUCAGAAAUCAACCACUGCCUGCCCCGGGGCCAGUGUCAGGGGUCAGCAGAAGCUUGUUCUGGCCAACAGCCCUCUCCUCCAUCACAGUCAUCCCCACAUUCAGCGGGGAGGUGCUAGAAUUAUCUGUUCCUGUUUCCUUCAGAGUCUGCACAGAAUGCUUUGGAUUCCCGAGAUCUGGCUUCCUCUGUGUGUUGUCACUGACUCCAGCCCAGCUGCUCACAGCACGGCCUGGGAGACGUUUCCCUUUGCAUUCAACGACACAGCUCAUUUUCAGCCGAGCUAUGGAAAGGCGUGGACGUCCUCCCUGCCGAUCCCGGCCAUCCUCCAUGAAUCACCAUCAUCCUCACAAUUCAGUCUAAAAGGCGAAUACUUUCAGACCUCGCCAACGAUCGCUCUGUUUCUGCUAACUGUCUGGUUUAGAUCAUGUAUUGCUUGGGAAUAUACGGAUUUCUCCUCAUUUACCAGUGAUAAAACUUAAAUAUGAAAAAUCAAAAUUUAGUAUUCCAAGAAAAUAAUCAUGGAUAUAAGCAAAGACUGCCAACUUGUUCAUCGUGACACUGUCUUCUGCAAUAGCAAUGAUAGUAAUAAAAAUUAGAAAAGCACUAAAUAUCCAUCUAUAGAGGAUUAAGAUGUAUUCUUGCAAUAUGAGAUUAAAAGGCAUACAAAUGGUGCUGUAGAGCAAUAUUUGAUGAUGUAGAGAGUUGUUUGUGACAGAUUAUUGGGGAGAAAAAGUUAAAACCAAUAUGUAUAAGACAGUCCCAUUUUUGUAGAUGAACCAAAACUAUACAUCUAUAGUCACAGAAAGAAAAAAGAUACCGCACUGUGAAUAAGAAAUAACAAAUGUUAACAUGAUCGGCUCUGAUUGCAGGAGACGCAUUAGAUUUCAUUUUCUUAUUUCCUGGUCUACAUUUUCUACAUUUGUAUAUAAGUUUUGCAAUAAGAAACAAAUGACAGCUUUAAAAUUUUUUUAACUAAAAUUUUUAACAAAUAAAGACGUCCUACUAGGAAUCCAGAGGGGGCAGACAGGUGAUCAAAUGCUCAUUUUGAAUCAACAGUGUGCUACUAAUAAGCUCCAUGAUGAGGCCCCGUCCCUUUCACAUGGAUGCAUAGUGUGCGUUUCAUCUCAAUUAGACUGCGGUUAACCGCAAAGAGGCCCCUUCAUGGAUUAGAUGCAAGUUUAAAGAAUAGAUGCUUGAUGAUGCACUGAAUGCUUAACUUCCUUGUCAUUGGAAAGCUUGUUCCUGAGUGGUGGCUGCAUUAGUCCACUAGGGCUCGCAUGACACAGUGCCACCGCCUGGGGGCUUCAGUAAUAGACAUCGAUUGUCUCCCAGUGCUGGAGGCUGGACGUCCAAGAUCGAGGAGUCUGCAGCGUUGGUCUCUUCUGAGGCCUCACUCUUGCCUGACAGACGGCUGCCGUCUCACUGCAUCCUCACGUUUCUCCUGUGCACAGGCCCCUGGGGUCUCUAUGUAAUUCUUUUUUUUUUUUUUGAGACAGAUUCUCACUCUGUUGCCCAGGCUGGAGUGCAGUGGUAUGAUCUCAGCUCACUGCAACCUCCGCCUCCUGGGUUCAAGUGAAUCUCCUGUCUCAGCCUCCCGAGUAGCUGGGAUUACAGGUGCAUGCCACCAUGCCUGGCUAAUUUUUGUAUUUUUAGUAGAGUUGGGGUUUCACUAAGUUGGCCAGGUUGGUCUCCAACUCCUGAAUUCAAGGAUCCACCUGCCUUGACCUCCCAAAGUGCUGGGAUUACAGGCGUGAGCCACCGCACCUGGCCAUAAUCUCUUCUAAUAAAGAUACCAGUCAGGCCGGAUGCAGUGGCUCACACCUGUAAUCCCAGCACUUUGGGAGGCCGAGGUAGGCAGAUCACCUGAGGUCAGGAGUUUGAGACCAGCCUGACCAACCUGGUGAAACCCCGUCUCUACUACAAAUACAAAAAUUAGCCAGGCAUGGUGGUGGGCACCUGUAAUCCCAGCUACUCGGGAGGUUGAGAGAGGAGAAUCACUUGAACCCGGGAGGUGGAGGUUGCAGUGAGCUGAGAUCGCGCCACUGCACUUCAGCCUGGGCAACAAAAACCGAAACUCAAUCUCAGAAAAAAAAGACACCAGUCAGAUUGGAUCAAGGCCCACAUACCCUCACAGACUCAUUUUAAUGUAGUCACCUCUUUAAAGGCCUUACCUGCAAAUACAGUCACAUUGUGAGGAACUAGGGGUUAGGGCUUCAACACAUGAAGCUUUGAGGGACACAGUCCAGCCCACAAUAGUGGCUUCCCUCUUUUCUGGGUGAGAAGAACCUCAGACAAACAGGAAAUGUGACUUAGACCAUCCCAUUUCCCUGACUUUGUUUGCAUUUUCCCCUAUGUCCACCAGAGGGCAAACUUCUAAAGUGUUUAUUUGAAAAUUCGGUCCUUAGGACUUUUAUGAGCCUUGAUUUUUAACCCUUUAUAACCUAAGCAGUUUCACUAAAUAAACAAUUGUUGGAAAUAGAGAACAUUGUGCUGUUUAGUAACAUCACGUGGGUUUCUGCACACCCCUCCUUCAUUGGGUGAACACCAUGUGCCAGUCAUGCUUGACAUAGAUGAGCCCAGUGAACACACACAUGUCCCCUCAGAGGUGGGUGUCAUGAUGAAUUCUGGUUUAUGAGUGAGGAGCAGGCAUUCAGGCACCUGCGCCCAUGGUCACAGGUGAGUCUCGAUCUUCCCCUGGACUCAUUGCUUCGGCAUCUCUGCACCCACUGGUCAGCCACCUCGUGUGAUCUACCUGAUCCAAUGACAGCCUCCACAGGGCAGGAGCCAUGGUCUAGAAGGCUGUGAGUAUCUGCCAAAGCGCUGAUGAUGUACAUAACCCCACGGACUGACUUAGUGGUUUCUCUGCUCUCUGCCGGGAAGGUAUGUACUUUGUCUCUUGAAAAAUCAUCAGGGAACUAGGGACUUAGUGUCUUUGUUCCCACUCAUGGAAACGACUGUGCAGUUACAUCUAUGGAGAUUGCCGUCUCCUGGGAAAGCCACUGAAGUCUUUGUUUGUGUGACUUUCUUACUGUUUGGUGGACAAAAUGGAAGCAGCACUUAAAAUCUCAUGCUGGAGAUUCCAUCCCUCUAUUGUUUGGGAUACAGAGAGUCUGUGAAACACACACAUAUCAAGAGGAAAGCUGAGCUGAGCACCAGUCAGAAUUGAUGAUGGGCCAGAAAUCAGCAGGCUGAAGAGAAAACAAAUAUGGCUUCAAUGAAAAAAAGAAAACUGAGAAUCAGAUGCGAACGCACGGAAGCCAGCACAGCGCGCGGUACUGUGGCGGGUAAAGCGGGUGGGAAAUGGGUCACAGGCCUCAGGGUUCCUCGCUGUACGAUGGACACACUGCUAUUGCCAACCGAGUGGGCUAGUAGCUUGUGAGUAGUUUGAAAUAUUCAUACAGAAAUGUUCUUUCUGUCUUCUGUCAUCUGUUUUUUUUUUCCUCUUACUCUUUUCUGAAGCCCCUAAGAGCCUUCUACCUUGUUUGUGCCCCAAACGAGGAGUGUGCGGAAACCCGUGUGUGGUCACACAUCUUGUGCCACAGUGGGAGGGAGCAGAGGGUGUCACAGGAGGGGAGAAGCUCUCACUUCCAGCAUGAGUCUCACAAGCUCUGAGGGUUGAGCCAGGCUCUGGAAGGGCAGCACUUUUUGAAGACAGGGACCCCCAGGCCUCACCAGCACUUCAGAAGGAGCAGAGACAACAGUGUCCUCCUGCUUGAGGCAAGGUGUAAGGUCGGGGACCUGGGCUCUGCUGAGGCCUGCUAGGGACCCUCCACCACAGUGACCUCAGCCUGAGGAGGCUCCAGGAUCCCCUACUGCUGGCUUGUAAUGUAUCAACAUCUUAUUUGCAGUGACCUUCCAAGUAUGUCGCCUGCCUGGGUUAAUAGCCUUCAGAGCCUUCCUUUUCUACACUGUUUAAAAAUAUUUUAUUAGUUUACAUAGAAAGUUGCUGACUUUACUUAGUUUUCUAAUUCUUUAAGACCUCUGGCCUGUACUUGAUCCAUUUUUAACUGCCUUAAAUUCCUUCCUGUCGCUGUCUAGAAUUUUUCCCUUAACUUUCUGUCUUCUGUCUUUAAAAUUCUCCUCAUUCCUUUCAGUGUGACUUAUAAAUCAUUGCAGUUUCUUGCAGCUGACACCCUUUAUCAUCUACAUCUGAGUUUUUACCUACCUGAAUACAUUUAUUCAUAAAAACAAAUUUCUACCCUCUAAAAUCUUCUUACAUUUGGUUCUUCUUAAUGUCUUUUCUUGUUGCUGUUCCUUUUAGUUUCUUAGUUGGGUUAAUAUCUGCUUUCUCUUUUUGCUCUGGCUUGUAAGACACAGGCAACAUGUGCGUGUCCAGGGUGAGAGGAUGGGGAGGGAGUGCAGGCUGGGAGUGAGGUCCAGGGCAGGGAUCUCUAACCGCAGCCAGCUGCACUCUGGCUCCGCAU
This is a long non-coding RNA of Callithrix jacchus (white-tufted-ear marmoset), 4914 nucleotides long. Lineage: Eukaryota; Metazoa; Chordata; Mammalia; Primates; Cebidae. The record is from Ensembl.